CUUGNGCGAGAGUAGUACUAGGAUGGGUGACCCCCUGGGAAGUCCUCGUGUUGCACCCCCCUUCUUUUUGCAUCUUUUUCGCCUUUUUGGGGGAAGGUGGCGAAAGGAAACGCGCGCGUACGAGAGAACGCGGCUCAGUAAACGCGCACGCGCGACGNAAAACUCACAACGCGCGGCACCGACACGUGUUGGGAAUAUAGGAGUAAAAAGGGAGAACCCUANCGGGUGCGAU
RNAcentral lists this unclassified non-coding RNA (232 nucleotides) under Polyscias balansae. The record is from RNAcentral. Lineage: Eukaryota; Viridiplantae; Streptophyta; Magnoliopsida; Apiales; Araliaceae.